Molecule: ribosomal RNA, 253 nt
Filed under: uncultured bacterium
Lineage: Bacteria
Description: partial 16S ribosomal RNA
Rfam family: Bacterial small subunit ribosomal RNA
Source: RNAcentral
UACGAAGGGUGCAAGCGUUACUCGGAAUUACUGGGCGUAAAGCGCGCGUAGGUGGUGAGUUAAGUCUGUCGUGAAAGCCCCGGGCUCAACCUGGGAAUGGCGAUGGAUACUGGCUCGCUAGAGUGCGGUAGAGGAGAGUGGAAUUCCCGGUGUAGCAGUGAAAUGCGUAGAGAUCGGGAGGAACAUCAGUUGCGAAGGCGGCUCUCUGGACCAGCACUGACACUGAGGCACGAAAGCGUGGGGAGCAAACAGG